GGGGUAUAGCGCAGUUGGGAGCGCGUCUGAAUGGCAUUCAGAAGGUCACGGGUUCGAAUCCCGUUAUCUCC
This 71-nucleotide transfer RNA is filed under the name bovine gut metagenome. It matches the Rfam family "tRNA". From Rfam's summary of the family: Transfer RNA (tRNA) molecules are approximately 80 nucleotides in length. Their secondary structure includes four short double-helical elements and three loops (D, anti-codon, and T loops). Further hydrogen bonds mediate the characteristic L-shaped molecular structure. tRNAs have two regions of fundamental functional importance: the anti-codon, which is responsible for specific mRNA codon recognition, and the 3' end, to which the tRNAs corresponding amino acid is attached (by aminoacyl-tRNA synthetases). tRNAs cope with the degeneracy of the genetic code in two manners: having more than one tRNA (with a specific anti-codon) for a particular amino acid; and 'wobble' base-pairing, i.e. permitting non-standard base-pairing at the 3rd anti-codon position. The record is from RNAcentral.